AACGAACGCUGGCGGCAUGCCUAACACAUGCAAGUCGAACGAAGGCUUCGGCCUUAGUGGCGCACGGGUGAGUAACGCGUGGGAAACUGCCUAUUGGUGGGGAAUAACGACGGGAAACUGUCGCUAAUACCGCAUAAGCCCUUCGGGGGAAAGAUAUAUCGCCGAUAGAUGUGCCCGCGUCCGAUUAGCUAGUUGGUGAGGUAAUGGCUCACCAAGGCGACGAUCGGUAGCUGGUCUGAGAGGAUGACCAGCCACACUGGGACUGAGACACGGCCCAGACUCCUACGGGAGGCAGCAGUGGGGAAUAUUGGACAAUGGGCGAAAGCCUGAUCCAGCAAUGCCGCGUGAGUGAUGAAGGCCUUAGGGUUGUAAAGCUCUUUCGGGUGGGAUGAUGAUGACGGUACCACCAGAAGAAGCCCCGGCUAACUUCGUGCCAGCCGCCGCCGUAA
Molecule: ribosomal RNA, 449 nt
Filed under: uncultured bacterium
Lineage: Bacteria
Description: partial 16S ribosomal RNA
Rfam family: Bacterial small subunit ribosomal RNA
Source: RNAcentral